Molecule: long non-coding RNA, 633 nt
Organism: Lates calcarifer (barramundi perch)
Lineage: Eukaryota; Metazoa; Chordata; Actinopteri; Centropomidae
Exons: 5
Source: RefSeq, a predicted model, not a curated record
GGUGAUGUUGACUGGUGGUGAGGUUGUGUUGAGUGGUGGUGAGGUCAUGUUGACUGGUGGUGAGGUUGGGUUGACUAGUGGUGAGGUUGCAUUGAGUGGAGGUGAGGUCAUGUUGACUGGUGGUGAGGUUGCGUUGAGUGGUGGUGAGGUCAUGUUGACUGGUGGUGAGGUUGGGUUGACUAGUGGUGAGGUUGCGUUGAGUGGUGGUGAGGUCAUGUUGACUGGUGGUGAGGUUGCAUUGAGUGAUGGUGAGGUUGCGUUGAGUGGUGGUGAGGUUGGGUUGAGUGGUGGUGAAGUCAUGUUGACUGGUGGUGAGGUUGCAUUGAGUGAUGGUGAGGUUGCGUUGAGUGGUGGUGAGGUCAUGUUGACUGGUGGUGAGGUUGCAUUGAGUGGUGGUGAGGUUGUGUUGACUGGUGGUGAGGUUGGGUUGACUAGUGGUGAGGUUGCAUUGAGUGGAGGUGAGGUCAUGUUGACUGGUGGUGAGGUUGCGUUGAGUGGUGGUGAGGUUGGGUUGACUAGUGGUGAGGUUGCGUUGAGUGGUGGUGAGGUCAUGUUGACUGGUGGUGAGGUUGCAUUGAGUGAUGGUGAGGUUGCGUUGAGUGGUGGUGAGGUCAUGUUGACUGGUGUUGAGGU